Nycticebus coucang (slow loris) is the source of this 880-nucleotide long non-coding RNA. RefSeq lists it as uncharacterized. Lineage: Eukaryota; Metazoa; Chordata; Mammalia; Primates; Lorisidae. The transcript has 3 exons. The record is from RefSeq and is a predicted model, not a curated record.
UGAAGAAAGAACUUUGCUACACGCCGUCCCAUACUAUGCAGUCUUUUUCUUGACUUAAUAAUUACAGGAGCGAGUUUAUACCCACAGCAAAGCUGCUGUUUGUUCAAGUCUUCGUCAUGCAACAUAUUGGUGUACUUGGCAGGAUAAGGGUAUUGCAAAGGAGCAGAAAGCCUUUCUGGACACUGGGCUGGAGGAUGGCCAUCUUCACCAGGACACCUCGGAGAGAUAUUUGCUGAAGCCUCUUGAGGAGACCGUAACUCUUAGGUUCCAGAUAAAAAUAUUAAACUCAGAAGUGUUACCAUAAAGAAACAACAGCAGAGAACCCUGAUGGAAUUUCGAGUGAACAAAUUAGCCACGAGAUUCCAGCGCCUAACCUUGACCCACAAAAACAGGAAGUGCAAGAAGAUGACGGCAGUGCACCCAGAAAUGGUGACCAUGCAACAAAUACAGAAACUGGGGAAAGCCACUGUGACAAGCCUACGCAGACAAAAGCGUAAGAGGCUUAAGGGACCUGGGCCCCCCUGGGACACAUGCAGAGUGAGGUUGCCUGGAGUUAAAAAUUCCACAAGCCACUUCUCUGAAGCUGUGCAUCCCAUGAAGCCUGAGAUCAAAGGACAUGCCGCCCUUCCUCAGAGGCAUGGGCCAGAGGGUUGACGUAUGUUAACAACAUAUUGUGAGAGGUCUAUAUCUGCUCUGUCCUGAGGAAAGAUACAGUCAUUACUUCAUACUGAGUAAACUGAGUGAAUGCUUGUUGCUUGAAGAUACUCUUCCAUUAACUCUGUUCUCCUGUGACUACUUUCUUCUUUGUGAUCUUUAUUUAGAUACCUGCCCAGAGAUUAGUCAGUGUCUAGAAGAGAAUGUUUACUGCAGAAGUGAUUGU